UCUAUAGUUCAGCAACAUCAAGGGGCUUGGACUAUCCAAGUUCAGGUUACGGCUUAUGGGAAACAUUGGUUAGAUGCAGUAACAAAAAGACCAAAAUAUCAAAGUUAAAGUGACUUUACAUACCGUGUUCCAUCCGACUGUGGUCACUUGCAGCCGAAGGACAGAAGGCAGUCAAAAGGAAUGAAUGAUUCAGGAGAAUAUCUUAGUUAAAAAUUGCAUUCUUACCCAAAUACUCUACGUGAUUGCCUGCUUUGCGGCUUUGGGGGAUCCUCAGCUCAGCAUGAACAGAGGCGCACUCAUAAGAACUGAACCUUGAAUCACAGCCUCGUACAAAGCCAGGCAAUCUUUGAGCCAAACAAACAAAGGGGGUAUUCAUAUGCCUGAGCCAUCAGCACAUGUGAGGCAUAUUUCUCACUCAAAAUUGGAAGAAAGACAGUGCAGAGACUCUUCAGGGAGUGGAGAACAUUCAUAUGGAUUGAUCCCUUAGUUUUCUAGCAUCUGUUUUGACGAGUCACCUAACAAAACACACAGCUCCGAUGUGGCCCUUUAUGUGUCAGGAGUCCAGGGGUUCUCUGGAAGCAGCUGCCAUAUUGCGAGCAGUUCUCCACAGAGGCCCAUAAAAGUGAGAAACGGGCCUCCAGCCCACAGCCAUGAGGAGCUAUAGCCUACCAGCAGUCCAGCUCUGGGGCCAGGAGUGGCUGCAGCUCUACUAAAAGCUCAACUGGGCAACACCUGGGUAACAGACCCAUACAAACUGAGUGGGAUGAAAAAUUUUCAUUGUUUUAAGCUCAGGUAUGGGAAAACUUGUCAUGCAACAAAGAUAACUAAUACACAUGCUUUAAAAGAGGUGACAACUUCCAAGUUUCCUUAAAUAAUUUGCAUAGGAUAUUAGAUAUAUGGAAAAUAAAUAUCAUAAAAUGUUGCUGCACCAACGAAUCUAGGUAUUACUCAAUUGGUCAUGUAAAAAUAGCACCAUAAACAUAUUUGUAAUUUAGUUGGUAAAAAUUGUAAAAAAAGCCACAAGUAUAAUUUGUGAUUGAUAACUGUCAGAAAUGUGUUAAAUGUCUUCAAAUUUUAAAAUCGAUUUGUAAUUAUGAGUCCUUUUGAUGUCUGAAUAUGUGUUUCUAAAAAAGACAUUUAUUAUAACGCAAUAGUACAAAAUAGAAUCUAUGUAAACACACAGAACUAAGAGAAUAGUUAAGUCAGACAUUUUCUCAUUAGAGUAUUAAAAAGUCAUGAAAACUUUUUGAAAAAAAAAAAACAUAAUGAAAGACUCUAGGCAUAAGGCUUAGUAAAAAGAUCAGAACACCCUGUAAGAAUAGUGUACAGUGACUUGAAAGUGGAUGUGGACAUUUUUUCAUCUUUUCAGUUGUGGGAUUAUGUAGGAAUUUGUUGUCUUUAAACUUUUUCUGAUCUUUUUAAAGAUUUCUCUACUAUAUGUGUGUUAUUACUUUUACUGUCAGGAAAAUGUAUAUAGCACUUGAAGAAGCUAGUCUUAAUUUGUUUUUAGGACUACAAAGAAAUGAGGACCGUGAACUUUAACCUUCCGACUAGGGGAGAAACCUAUGAAAUAAACCCCCAAAAUAGAGCACCUGUAUAGGUGUUGGUUGUGCUUUCUGAUUGGCUUUCUUCCAAAUCAUCUUCGUCUUUGGAAAUAACCAUGGUCUUUCUGUCACUGACCAAUCUUAUUGAUUUACAGAAACGAACAUAGGUUAUUUAUUUAUUUUGUUCCAUUAAAGCUGCUGAAUCGAAGAGUAAAUUCUAAAAUUUUAUGUGAGUAAAAGUUUACGUUCUAUAGUAGACGCUCAUGAAAUUGGGGAAGGAAAAGUCAGAUGGCACUAAAAUGUAUUUUAAGAAUAUGCUUGUGAAUAUAUUCUUGUUCAUUAAGUGAAAGUUGGAAAAAAUCUUGAAAUUGAGUAUUUAACUGGAAAGAAUUAACCAAAGUGCCACCAACCAAGACCUGCUUCGACAGAUUGGUGCCUUUUUUCUGAUGCUUAUAUUCUCUUUGUGCCUUUCCUCCGCAUCUUGUGCUUUUAUCUUUCAUAUUUUGUUGUUAUGGUACCUUUCCUUCUAGUCGAUCAGUUCUAUCUUUCUGGCUUGUCCUCCUUUCUUCAGUCCUUAGAAUAUAAUAGGUGCUUAAUGAACACAUGUCAAGUGACUCAGCUGUACUGACAAUACAUGGAAAAGAGAAAAUCCCUGAGUGCAGAAAUAAGAUAAAGUCAAGUUUUACAUUAGUUGAGACUAUUGUCAAUUUGAAAUGUUACCGUCCUGCUGCUCUUGGUACCAGAUGUCAAAGAAGGCAAAUGACGUCAAGGAUGGAGAACACAGGUCACCUGAGUACUCCAGGUCUGGUGUUGUCAUAGUUAACUGACUGUGUCAACUUGAGUAAGAAACGCCCAAGUAAAUUAUGUCAGCGUACUUCUGGGUGUGGCUGAAGGGAUUUACUGAAGACAGAGACCCGGCCUCGGUGUGAAUGACAGCAACCAAUAGGCUUGCUGCCUGAAGGGGAGAAAGACAAACAAAGAAGGAAACAGGAUCACUUCUGUCUCUUUAGAGGAGCUCCAGUCUUCACUUUCACCUUGGACAUUGUCUCCUGACUUCCAGCACAGACUUUUCAGUCACCCUGUGCAGGCCCUUGGGGCUCCUGAUAUGGAUUGACCUGGGAUGCUGAGCUCCAGGCCUUCAACCUUUGACUGCAUCCCAUGGGUCUCCAGUGCAGAAGAGAGCCCCUUUGCACUCCGCUCCUGUCUUAUAAAUCCUGACGUACUAUAUAUCUUGCAUUAAAUCCAUUUUGCUAGUCAGCACUGACUGACAGAGCUGUCAAGUAGAAAUUCAAGAAUGCUUUCUGUGAGGAUGUCCAGUGAACACAAGGAAAACAGUCUGGAAUUGGCUUUCUGAACUUCAAAAGUGGAAAUGAAAAAGAGAAGCUGGCAAUUAAAGCUUUUAGGAUUUGGAGAAAAACAUCAUGGUUUCUAGCUUUAUUUGAAAUAUGAUAAAAUAUGCUGAACUUUUAAAUUAAAAAAUUAUUCAAAUAAAAGACAUUGCCAU
Chinchilla lanigera (long-tailed chinchilla) is the source of this 3048-nucleotide long non-coding RNA. RefSeq lists it as uncharacterized. The record is from RefSeq and is a predicted model, not a curated record. Lineage: Eukaryota; Metazoa; Chordata; Mammalia; Rodentia; Chinchillidae. The transcript has 7 exons.